GACGAACGCUGGCGGCGUGCUUAACACAUGCAAGUCGAACGGAAAGGCCCUGCUUUUGUUGGGUGCUCGAGUUGCGAACGGGUGAGUAACACGUGAGUAACCUGCCCUUUACUUUGGGAUAACUUCAGGAAACUGUGGCUAAUACCGGAUAAGAGCUCCUGCUGCAUGGUGUCGGUUUGAAAGUUUCGGCGGAUUGGGUUGGACGUGCGGCUUAUCUGUUUGUAGGUGGUGUAGUGGCAACCCAUGGCGUUGACGGGUAGCCGGCCUGGGAGGGUGACCGGCCACAUAGGGACUGGGAUGCGAGCCAGACGGCAACGGGGGGAAGGGGUGGAGAAUAGAGCGAGAUGGGCGGAAGCCGGAUGGAGGGUCGCCGCGUGGGGGAGGUCGGCCGUAGGGUUGGAAACAGUUUUAGACUGUGAAGAAGAGUGAGUGACGGUAACGUGUAAAGAAGCAACGGCUAACUACGUG
Molecule: ribosomal RNA, 468 nt
Filed under: uncultured bacterium
Lineage: Bacteria
Description: partial 16S ribosomal RNA
Rfam family: Bacterial small subunit ribosomal RNA
Source: RNAcentral